RNAcentral lists this ribosomal RNA (545 nucleotides) under Saccharomyces cerevisiae (brewer's yeast). RNAcentral describes it as "LSU rRNA". It matches the Rfam family "Eukaryotic large subunit ribosomal RNA", at positions 53 to 600 of the family's 3401-position model. The record is from RNAcentral. Lineage: Eukaryota; Fungi; Ascomycota; Saccharomycetes; Saccharomycetales; Saccharomycetaceae.
GAGGAAAAGGAAACCAACCGGGAUUGCCUUAGUAACGGCGAGUGAAGCGGCAAAAGCUCAAAUUUGAAAUCUGGUACCUUCGGUGCCCGAGUUGUAAUUUGGAGAGGGCAACUUUGGGGCCGUUCCUUGUCUAUGUUCCUUGGAACAGGACGUCAUAGAGGGUGAGAAUCCCGUGUGGCGAGGAGUGCGGUUCUUUGUAAAGUGCCUUCGAAGAGUCGAGUUGUUUGGGAAUGCAGCUCUAAGUGGGUGGUAAAUUCCAUCUAAAGCUAAAUAUUGGCGAGAGACCGAUAGCGAACAAGUACAGUGAUGGAAAGAUGAAAAGAACUUUGAAAAGAGAGUGAAAAAGUACGUGAAAUUGUUGAAAGGGAAGGGCAUUUGAUCAGACAUGGUGUUUUGUGCCCUCUGCUCCUUGUGGGUAGGGGAAUCUCGCAUUUCACUGGGCCAGCAUCAGUUUUGGUGGCAGGAUAAAUCCAUAGGAAUGUAGCUUGCCUCGGUAAGUAUUAUAGCCUGUGGGAAUACUGCCAGCUGGGACUGAGGACUGCGAC